CUUUGGUUUUAUUUUGUUGGUUUCUAGAACUGAAGUAAUGAUUAAUAGGGACAGUUGGGGACAUUAGUAUUUAAUUGUCAGAGGUGAAAUUCUUGGAUUUAUUAAAGACUAACUACUGCGAAAGCAUUUGUCAAGGAUGUUUUCAUUAAUCAAGAACGAAAGUUAAGGGAUCGAAGUCGAUUAGAGACCGACGUAGUCUUAACCAUAAACUAUGCCGACUCGGGAUCGGUAGGCUACAUUUUGUACCUAUCGGCACCGUAUGAGAAAUCAAAGUUUUUGGGUUCAGGGGGGAGUAUGGUCGCAAGGCUGAAACUUAAAGGAAUUGACGGAAGGGCACCACCAGGAGUGGAGCCUGCGGCUUAAUUUGACUCAACACGGGGAAACUCACCA
RNAcentral lists this ribosomal RNA (390 nucleotides) under Choanoflagellata sp. RNAcentral's name for it is "SSU rRNA". It matches the Rfam family "Eukaryotic small subunit ribosomal RNA", at positions 828 to 1220 of the family's 1831-position model. The record is from RNAcentral. Lineage: Eukaryota; Choanoflagellata.